CCUACGGGAGACAGCAGUGAGGAAUAUUGGUCAAUGGACGAGAGUCUGAACCAGCCAAGCAGCGUGAAGGAUGACUGCCCUAUGGGUUGUAAACUUCUUUUAUAUGGGAAUAAAACAGGGUAUGCAUACCCUCUUGUAUGUACCAUAUGAAUAAGGAUCGGCUAACUCCGUGCCAGCAGCCGCGGUAAUACGGAGGAUCCGAGCGUUAUCCGGAUUUAUUGGGUUUAAAGGGAGCGUAGGUGGAUUGUUAAGUCAGUUGUGAAAGUUUGCGGCUCAACCGUAAAAUUGCAGUUGAAACUGGCAGUCUUGAGUACAGUAGAGGUGGGCGGAAUUCGUGGUGUAGCGGUGAAAUGCUUAGAUAUCACGAAGAACUCCGAUUGCGAAGGCAGCUCACUGGACUGCAACUGACACUGAUGCACGAAAGUGUGGGUAGCAAACAGGAUUAGAUACCCCUGUAGUC
This 460-nucleotide ribosomal RNA is filed under the name uncultured bacterium. Its description in RNAcentral is "partial 16S ribosomal RNA". It matches the Rfam family "Bacterial small subunit ribosomal RNA", at positions 338 to 795 of the family's 1533-position model. The record is from RNAcentral.